Molecule: non-coding RNA, 1296 nt
Organism: Meleagris gallopavo (turkey)
Lineage: Eukaryota; Metazoa; Chordata; Aves; Galliformes; Phasianidae
Source: RefSeq, a predicted model, not a curated record
GAAGAUAGUUAAUAUGUAUUAAAGCUAGGGUACAUCUACACAAAAAUUUCUUACAAAGAGCAAAGAAAAAUGAGCAGGCAGAAUGUGAUGGAAGAAAAUUACUUACACUCCAUAGUAGACGGAUGUUUGGGUUUAGUGAAAUAAUAUUUACCGAUAGGAACUUACCUCUGUAUACACAUAUAAGCUCUUUUACAAGAAGUUUAUUCAUUGUUUUUUUCACCAAGGAUUUUCCUGAUGCCUGUGGAUCAAAGCCCAAGAGCCGCGGUUCCCUUGUGCAGAUGGCAGAAUCCAUUUCACAUGAGCAGUGCGCUUUGGGAAAUCCCUGAAGCCAGGUGGAAAUGAGGAACACCCCUAGAAAAGAAUCACUGUCAACUCAAAGCAGCGUACAAAGACACAGAGCUCCCAGUGGCAGAGAUCCUUGCCAGCAGGGUUCCCAUCUGAACAGAAGAAUCCUUUGAAAGAUAUUUCACUUCUACAGAGUACUGCAAAUGCCCUAUACAUAAAACCUCAUGAGCCCUGGUUUUAUUUUGGACAGCAGUAGAAAAAAAGAGGGAUUUUUGUUUCUUUCUCCAGAAAGCGUAGCUGACUCACACAGGAGGCAGAUGGUCGCAGUGGUCAGACUCCCUGCUUUGUAACCAGCUCUUGGUUUUUGCAUGCUAAUGAUUUCUUGGUCCCAAAAAUAGCUUUACAGACAGGGUCAAUUAUAUUUUUGGAUUGUAUGGCGCGUAGAGCCAUCAGUUAGUUGCACAAGGCGAUUGGUUUAUAAUGCAGCACACCCCUUCUUCGUAAUUGGCACCUUUUUGAUAUCCCGUUUAUAAUGGCAGGGUCUAUCUUUACAAAUAGUGCCUUGUAUUAGCAUGCAAAUGCCCUGGCUCCCCUCAGAUAGUUUUACACACAGAGUCAAUUAUAUUUUUGCAUUGCACAAUGUGUAGACUAAUUAGCUAUCGCUAAAUGGGGCACUCGGUCUUCAGAUUUCAAGAUCUUUCUGCACUAAGUGAUUCUGAGGCACUUUCAAGGGCAGGCUGGACAGAUGGGGUUUAUGUGCAUUUCUGAAGCAUCUUUUAGAAUGGAUUCAAAUCCUGGAAUGGUUUUGGAAAGAAGAACCUACAGAGUAAAAUGUUUCCAUACUCUCAGCCAGUGCUGUUGUUGAGAUCUAAAUGGUGCUGUUCUUGUUCAAGUCCCUCUAGAUACGGACGGGCCGCUCUCAGCUCUCCCCACAGCCUUCCCUUCUCCGUGCUGCACAGCCCAGCUCUCAGCCUGUCCUCGCAGGGAGGUGUUCCAUCCCUCAGAUCAUUU